This 1369-nucleotide long non-coding RNA is filed under the name Homo sapiens (human). Its description in RNAcentral is "long intergenic non-protein coding RNA 1539". Lineage: Eukaryota; Metazoa; Chordata; Mammalia; Primates; Hominidae. The record is from RNAcentral.
GUGUCACCAGAGAGGAAAAGAAUAUCCUUGCUGUGCCAAGAAAGAAAAGACCAUGGAUCUACUAGUUGCAGAUUUCAGCAGUAAUGCCAAGGGGGCAAGAAGUGACCAGCAGAACAAUUAGGCCAUGGCAACAGAAGCCAACUACAACCCAUGUUCCAAUCUAUGACCUCCCUCUCCUGCUGGUACAAGGAUAUGUAUUCCUUAGAGCAAAGGAUGCAAUGUCAAGCAAGUUGUGAUACCUCAACUAUCUACAAUUUAACACCAAGGAAAGAACACUGUUUGGAGAAAUGAGAAAGAUUAUCAUCAGUGUCUUUCAGAAGUCAUCAAAAGAAGAAAAGGAGAAAAGAGAGGAGAAAGCAGAAAGAUCUGGAGUCUGGGAAGUUCAAGAGCAUGGCACCAACAUCUGGCAAGGGCUUUCAUUCUGCAUCAUCUCAUGGAGGAAAAUAAAAAGGAGGCUGGAUGCUCCUGUGAAGUACGUCUUUUAUCUACUUGCUAUCUUUGCAAUUCCUUCAUGCUACAAUGAGAGAUAGAGUUUAAACCUGAAAACAUUCUUGGAAAAGGAAUCUUCAUUAAUUCAAAUAUACCACAAGUGUCUUCCAGAGUCCUCACGAGUAUCAGAGAAGGCAUAAUCUGUACACGUGGCUUCAUUUAAAAUGAAAAUAUCAAGCAGUGUCAUUUUCACAAGUAUCCCCACACUGUCUGAGGCUGAAAAGAAGAGUGUAGCUAUGCACACUGCAGUGAGAAGAAAAUUUCAGCUCAAUUGGAGGAUGUAAAGAUUGAAAUACCACUGCUCCUAGUUCUGAUGCAAAAUUGAAAAGAGUGCACUGGGUCUUCAAAUGGCAUAUUGACAAGGAGAAAGAGGAAAGGAUGCCCCAGGACAGCCUGGGGGUCAAGGCUGGGCUCAGGCAUGCCUGGACAAGCCAUGCAAGUUGUCUCCGGACUUGAACCACGUAUCAGAGGAGCUAUUUGAGGAGCCACAUCAGCAUACCUGCUUCUGUGGGCCCCCAGGCUGUGGUGCUCAGCCCUUGCACUAUGAAACAUUUUUUUUUUCCAGAAGCCAAAGCUUUGAGCAUCUCCUCCCAUGUAGAGAGUGUAUAUGUUUACGUCCAUGUCUUUCGCCAUGUGAACGCAUGCAACCACCACCUCAAAUAUCAUAAAUCCUCUCUCUCCCCCUUUCUGUCUGCCUGUUUAUCUACAAUCUGUCUAUUUAAAUUCUUUUUAAACAAGAAGGGAAUAUCUUUAUGCCUGUUUGUAGGGAUAUUCUACAUCCAUCUGUUAUUUACAUCAUUCGUUUUCCUGAGGUGUCUCCAACAAAUCCUGGCUGGAUGCACUGUAUGUGUUAUUAAUAAAACAGCUGUAAAAAUAUUAA